RNAcentral lists this ribosomal RNA (450 nucleotides) under uncultured bacterium. RNAcentral describes it as "partial 16S ribosomal RNA". It matches the Rfam family "Bacterial small subunit ribosomal RNA", at positions 354 to 796 of the family's 1533-position model. The record is from RNAcentral.
GUGGGGAAUCUUCCACAAUGGACGAAAGUCUGAUGGAGCAACGCCGCGUGAGUGAAGAAGGGUUUCGGCUCGUAAAGCUCUGUUGUCGGGGACGAAUGUGCAGUAUUUGAAUAAAGUAGUGCAAUGACGGUACCUGACGAGGAAGCCACGGCUAACUACGUGCCAGCAGCCGCGGUAAUACGUAGGUGGCAAGCGUUGUCCGGAAUUAUUGGGCGUAAAGGGAGCGCAGGCGGGAAGGUAAGUCGGUCUUAAAAGUGCGGGGCUCAACCCCGUGAUGGGAUCGAAACUAUCUUUCUUGAGUGCAGGAGAGGAAAGUGGAAUUCCUAGUGUAGCGGUGAAAUGCGUAGAUAUUAGGAGGAACACCAGUGGCGAAGGCGACUUUCUGGACUGUAACUGACGCUGAGGCUCGAAAGCCAGGGGAGCGUACGGGAUUAGAAACCCUGGUAGUCC